UAGGGAAUCUUCGGCAAUGGGGGCAACCCUGACCGAGCAACGCCGCGUGAGUGAAGAAGGUUUUCGGAUCGUAAAGCUCUGUUGUAGGUCAAGAACGGGUGUGAGAGUGGAAAGUUCACACUGUGACGGUAGCUUACCAGAAAGGGACGGCUAACUACGUGCCAGCAGCCGCGGUAAUACGUAGGUCCCGAGCGUUGUCCGGAUUUAUUGGGCGUAAAGCGAGCGCAGGCGGUUUGAUAAGUCUGAAGUUAAAGGCUGUGGCUCAACCAUAGUUCGCUUUGGAAACUGUCAAACUUGAGUGCAGAAGGGGAGAGUGGAAUUCCAUGUGUAGCGGUGAAAUGCGUAGAUAUAUGGAGGAACACCGGUGGCGAAAGCGGCUCUCUGGUCUGUAACUGACGCUGAGGCUCGAAAGCGUGGGGAGCGAACAGGAUUAGAUACCCUGGUAGUCCACGCCGUAAACGAUGAGUGCUAGGUGUUGGAUCCUUUCCGGGAUUCAGUGCCGCAGCUAACGCAUUAAGCACUCCGCCUGGGGAGUACGACCGCAAGGUUGAAACUCUAAAGUGAAUU
Molecule: ribosomal RNA, 567 nt
Filed under: uncultured bacterium
Lineage: Bacteria
Description: partial 16S ribosomal RNA
Rfam family: Bacterial small subunit ribosomal RNA
Source: RNAcentral